RNAcentral lists this transfer RNA (65 nucleotides) under Helina latitarsis. Its description in RNAcentral is "tRNA-Ile". The record is from RNAcentral. Lineage: Eukaryota; Metazoa; Arthropoda; Insecta; Diptera; Muscidae.
AAUGAAUUGCCUGACAAAAAGGAUUGUUUUGAUAGAGCAAAUUAUGUAAUAAAUUACAUUCAUUA